RNAcentral lists this transfer RNA (67 nucleotides) under Connochaetes taurinus (brindled gnu). RNAcentral's name for it is "tRNA-Val". It matches the Rfam family "tRNA". From Rfam's summary of the family: Transfer RNA (tRNA) molecules are approximately 80 nucleotides in length. Their secondary structure includes four short double-helical elements and three loops (D, anti-codon, and T loops). Further hydrogen bonds mediate the characteristic L-shaped molecular structure. tRNAs have two regions of fundamental functional importance: the anti-codon, which is responsible for specific mRNA codon recognition, and the 3' end, to which the tRNAs corresponding amino acid is attached (by aminoacyl-tRNA synthetases). tRNAs cope with the degeneracy of the genetic code in two manners: having more than one tRNA (with a specific anti-codon) for a particular amino acid; and 'wobble' base-pairing, i.e. permitting non-standard base-pairing at the 3rd anti-codon position. The record is from RNAcentral. Lineage: Eukaryota; Metazoa; Chordata; Mammalia; Artiodactyla; Bovidae. RNAcentral also lists the same sequence under 1 other name.
CAAGAUAUAGCUUAAACAAAGCAUCUAGUUUACACCUAGAAGAUUUCAUAUACCAUGAACAUCUUGA